CACUUUUCCUCAUGAAUAUUUAAAUAGAAAAUGCCGAAAUAAUAUUUAAUUAUUCAUACAACCUCUUCAACCUGUUCUUGUUUCCAAUGCAUACAACGAUGCGUGGAUCGACUCAAUCUUGUUUCUUUUGCAAUUAUUGGAAAAACAUAAUUCAUUUGUUGAUAUUUUUGUAUGCACCCUAUAAAUCAUUAUGUUUCAUGCUUAUGGUUGAUAUUGGUCCAUACUCAAACGAUUUUGUUCACCAUCGAGUGUGAGUUUCAACAGGUAAAUAUGUACAUUUCUUUGUGUUGUAUAUUUCUCAGCGAGCAUGAUAUGAGGCCUUUUUAAAGGGGAUUUUCCCCAAUAUUUAAAUCAAAUAAAUAACCUUAACGCAUUAAACAACCAUUUAAAAUGUUGUUUUAGAUUGCAGUAUAAAGACA
Molecule: long non-coding RNA, 419 nt
Filed under: Mytilus galloprovincialis (Mediterranean mussel)
Lineage: Eukaryota; Metazoa; Mollusca; Bivalvia; Mytilida; Mytilidae
Source: RNAcentral